UGAUGAUUCAUUUCAAAUUGUUGUACAAAUUUUGAGAAGAAUUUUAUAUGAAUCAACGAAAAGAGAUCAAACCAAAUAAGUGCAUAAAAACUAUUCAACCAAUGUUAUUAUGAUUUGUGAAAUAAUAAUGAAGUGCCGAAAAGGAAUAGUAUUGUCCAUACUCAGUAAACUCAAGAAUGACAUCAUAACAAGUGCGUUUUAUAUUACUGUUUCAUACCAGUAUCAAUUAUUACGUGUACAUAUAAACAUCAUACUUAUCUCACCUCCUGAAUUUCCCCUCUUGUAAAUCUACUCAAUACUCAAUAAAAAAUAUUUUUGGGUCAA
Molecule: long non-coding RNA, 324 nt
Organism: Coccinella septempunctata (seven-spotted ladybird)
Lineage: Eukaryota; Metazoa; Arthropoda; Insecta; Coleoptera; Coccinellidae
Exons: 2
Source: RefSeq, a predicted model, not a curated record